CUGCAGUCCCCACAUUCCUACAAUAAAUACCAACCUAAAGCAAAACCUUUUGAAGGACGAUGCCCCCAAGUACAGAGAGGCCGAGGGCAGAGCUAGAAGCCCCUUUGGAUGUGAAAAGUAACUGCAUGAAACAGCCACAGCAUAAAUAUAGCUGAUGAGAAAGGCCCUGUCCCAACCGCGGGGCUCACUCUUGCUGCGUCCUCCAUGCGGAACACGACAGACUCUGCGACACGCAACUGGAGCUCAUUCCCAUGGGGUGAAGCCCCAGUCCUGUGCUUCCUCUUCCCUCCUGUCACCCUGGUAAGUCACAGGCCUGCCCCCAGGAUCUAUACAAGUCAGGCCCGCCAUCUUUAACCCCUGUCCACGCUGCGGAUGGUAUGUCCCCAAACCAUAACUGUGUGCACCAUACUCCCCUCAGGCUCAUCCAUGACUUCCGGCCCAGAACUUUCCCUGACCCACAGCCCAGGCCCUGCUACUUCACCUGGAUCAUCGCUCCCUCCCACCCACCUGCACUCAGCCCCUCCCCCUGUCCUGAUCAUUCCUCCUCCUUUCUCCUCCUCCACUCCCCCAGCUCUGCCUCGCCCAGCCUCCCUCUGCGGGACUGGGCUUCCCACUUUCCAGAACAUGGGGCUGAUCCCACCCCGGCCCGGCCUCCCUCCUUGCACACAGUGUGACGCGCAGCUGCAUCUCCUGUGUGGCCUCGUGGCCAGUGUGCCCAGGGAACAUCCUCCACCCUGCAGGUCCAGGGGCCAGUCUGUGCUCAAGAAACAAAGGCUGCACUCAACUCCAUGCGAAGACUACAAAGUAAAACAAGAAGAGAUGAAAAAAAAACUAAAUGUUCUUUGCAUAAAACUGUUGUGAUAAAAUGAAUCAGUGUUUUACUCUAACAUUUACCCCAAGUGCUACACAAAUAUAAAGUCUGACUUUAAGAACUCAUUCUUGCGUAACUGGGAGAUGACACCCGUGGAAUAGACUGGGCUGAUGCCGCAGAUGGCUUAAGGACAGAUGAAAUAAUGCCAUCUGUGCGCACACAAGACAGCCCACUCAGAGAGCUACUGCCGCAAAAUGAAAGUGUUCCUGAAACACAAAGAUAAGAGAGAAUUUACGAAUUCUAUCAGAAAGAAAUUCAACAGACAUAAAACCAUAAACCUCUCAGAGACUAAAAAGGUUCUGCUAAGUUGCUUUGAAACCUAUGAAAUACAAAGCAAGCUGCUUCUAUGACAGCCUAGGGUGGUGUUCUCGACCUGCUUUCUGCUUAUAACUCCCCCUCCCUGGGAACAGGAGCUUGAGGUAAGAAUCUGGGCUCCAAGGCAGGCGCCUGCUCCCGUCCAGGCUCUGCCGUCUCCGUCCCAUGAGAGUAAAACGGCCGAACUCUUGGCCACAUCGUAAGAAUUGAACGGUGCCACCAAGCACUAGCAUGGGGCUGGAUACUGCUCGCAAAACGUUACCUGUCGCCACCACCCAGGCUGUGAGAGUUGUUCAAUAGACACUAGGAAGCACAGAACAGGAGCGGGGAGACUGCACCCCAAGUUAACCUUGGAAAGAACCGUGUGGACGAUCCUUAGGCAGAGAUACGCAAACAGGUGCUUUGUGUCCAGGGAGCAAGGAAGGGCUGAACAGGAGCGAGUCCGGAACCUGACGGGUGGCGGUGACUGGAGUACCAUGCAGAGCCUGUCAGCGGCUGCUUUGAGAACGCGCAUUAUUACUCAUUCAAGACAUCUAAGUAGGCAGGAGGAGAGGAACAGGGUGUGCCGUGCUGUUCCCCACCUCUCACAUUUGGGGUAGCUAUGAUCGCACUGUUACUGCAGAUCAAA
Chinchilla lanigera (long-tailed chinchilla) is the source of this 1814-nucleotide long non-coding RNA. RefSeq lists it as uncharacterized. The record is from RefSeq and is a predicted model, not a curated record. The transcript has 3 exons. Lineage: Eukaryota; Metazoa; Chordata; Mammalia; Rodentia; Chinchillidae.